GACGAACGCUGGCGGCGCGCUUCAUACAUGCAAGUCGAGCGAGAAUCCGGCCUUCGGGCCGGAGGAAAGCGGCGAACGGGUGAGUAACACGUGGGUAAUCUGCCCUCGGCACCGGGAUAGCCUGAGGAAACUCUGAUUAAUACCGGAUAGCCCGUCUGCUCUUCGGGGUGGACAGAAAAGGUAGCUUCGGCCUCUGGCCGGGGAUGAGCCCGCGGCGGAUUAGCUUGUUGGCGGGGUAAUGGCCCACCAAGGCGACGAUCCGUAGCUGGUCUGAGAGGACGAUCAGCCACACUGGGACUGAGACACGGCCCAGACACCUACGGGAGGCAG
This 330-nucleotide ribosomal RNA is filed under the name uncultured Actinomycetes bacterium. Its description in RNAcentral is "bacterial SSU rRNA". It matches the Rfam family "Bacterial small subunit ribosomal RNA", at positions 28 to 351 of the family's 1533-position model. Lineage: Bacteria; Bacillati; Actinomycetota; Actinomycetes. The record is from RNAcentral.